AGGAAGCCAGACAUAUAAUCUCCUUAUGGGACUUUGGGGGGAAGUUUCUUUUUGUAUCAGAUCAGAGACACUUACUCAGUGUUAUCGAGGUAAAUCAAAGCUAUGGCAAAGCUCUUUAUUGAAUGAAAUCAAAGCACGGGGGAAUGGCCUGGGAAUGAAGAGUAACAGGUACUCACAGGUACGGUUGUAAGAUUCAUGACAGGUGCGGGCGAUUUCAGCUCCAAGUUCAAGGUAGUGUUGGGCCAGGGCUUCGGGAGCUCCAUCUGCCCCGAGUGCAAACAUGCCCCCUGCAAAGCAUGUCAAGUGGCCCAUUUUGUGUUCCAGGAGGCCCCCUUUCCACUCUGCAAUGUAUGUUAGUCCCCCGCUGGACUUGCGGAUCAGACAUGGUUUUGCCACAGAUCACUGGUUGCCUUGAACUCACUAUGUAGCGUAAGAUGGCGUCUCACAGCAAUUCUCCUGCCUCAGCUUCUUGAGUGCUGACAUAUGGG
Long non-coding RNA from Peromyscus eremicus (cactus mouse), 488 nucleotides. RefSeq lists it as uncharacterized. The record is from RefSeq and is a predicted model, not a curated record. The transcript is spliced from 3 exons. Lineage: Eukaryota; Metazoa; Chordata; Mammalia; Rodentia; Cricetidae.